UGGGUCAAGAUGGCCAUAGAGCGUGACA
Molecule: non-coding RNA, 28 nt
Filed under: Homo sapiens (human)
Lineage: Eukaryota; Metazoa; Chordata; Mammalia; Primates; Hominidae
Source: RNAcentral